CCUACGGGAGGCAGCAGUGAGGAAUAUUGGUCAAUGGACGAGAGUCUGAACCAGCCAAGUAGCGUGAAGGAUGACUGCCCUAUGGGUUGUAAACUUCUUUUAUAUGGGAAUAAAACGUUCCACGUGUGGGAUUUUGUAUGUACCAUAUGAAUAAGGAUCGGCUAACUCCGUGCCAGCAGCCGCGGUAAUACGGAGGAUCCGAGCGUUAUCCGGAUUUAUUGGGUUUAAAGGGAGCGUAGGUGGAUUUUUAAGUCAGUUGUGAAAGUUUGCGGCUCAACCGUAAAAUUGCAGUUGAAACUGGCAGUCUUGAGUACAGUAGAGGUGGGCGGAAUUCGUGGUGUAGCGGUGAAAUGCUUAGAUAUCACGAAGAACUCCGAUGGCGAAGGCAGUUCACUGGACUGCAACUGACACUGAGGCUCGAAAGUGUGGGUAUCAAACAGGAUUAGAUACCCUGGUAGUC
RNAcentral lists this ribosomal RNA (460 nucleotides) under uncultured bacterium. RNAcentral describes it as "partial 16S ribosomal RNA". It matches the Rfam family "Bacterial small subunit ribosomal RNA", at positions 338 to 795 of the family's 1533-position model. The record is from RNAcentral.